UUGGGUUUCUCCAGUGCAUUGC
RNAcentral lists this non-coding RNA (22 nucleotides) under Arabidopsis thaliana (thale cress). Lineage: Eukaryota; Viridiplantae; Streptophyta; Magnoliopsida; Brassicales; Brassicaceae. The record is from RNAcentral.